This 73-nucleotide transfer RNA is filed under the name Haliotis rufescens (red abalone). RNAcentral's name for it is "tRNA-Arg". It matches the Rfam family "tRNA". From Rfam's summary of the family: Transfer RNA (tRNA) molecules are approximately 80 nucleotides in length. Their secondary structure includes four short double-helical elements and three loops (D, anti-codon, and T loops). Lineage: Eukaryota; Metazoa; Mollusca; Gastropoda; Lepetellida; Haliotidae. The record is from RNAcentral.
GUCCCUGUAGCACAGCGGAUAGCGCGCUGGACUUCUAAUGCAGAGGCCGUGGGUUCGAAUCCCACCAGGGAUG